This 488-nucleotide long non-coding RNA is filed under the name Phasianus colchicus (ring-necked pheasant). RNAcentral describes it as "lncRNA (ENSPCLG00000015574.1)". The record is from RNAcentral. Lineage: Eukaryota; Metazoa; Chordata; Aves; Galliformes; Phasianidae.
CUCUGUGACGUCACAACCCCCAGCCCGUAUGGAAGUAGGCUGGCAGUAGCCCCCAGCAUGGGGGUGGGGGGAUUUAUGGACAUAACUUGUGUAUAAUAUUAAAGUACAUGCAAUUAGAACUUUAACAACAAGUGAACACAUGUACCAGCUUGGGGACCAUCCCUGAGGAAAAGAACAAAAUCUUGUUAUAGUUACUCCUCUCUGUCAAGUCUUCACUCAGACGUGGAAGGCAAUUGCUGGAAGAACCUUUGUGGACUUCUGUCUCAUAAGCAGGAUACAGAAAGUGAGCAAAGGACUCACUACCCACUGGUAAGCAAAAAUCCACCUUUACAGGAAUGAAAGAAUACGUAAAGAUGCAAUCCAGCACAAUCCAUAGUGAGGUAAGAAUAGAAAGAAGAAAACAUUUUCAUAAUGAAUUAUCACCAUAUUAGCUUGCAAAUAUAUUUUUCUAAAAUAAAACUGAGUUGAUUCUCUUUUCCUUAGGUCUC